AUGUUGUAUGAGCAGUCUGGUCCUAAUGGAUUACGUGCCGGCACUUUGUUAACGAUCGUUCGAAGAUUUCACAUAAGAUGCCAUGGUUGCCUGGAUGAAGAGACUAGAUGGGAUAUUUCUGCAGUGAAAGCAUCUAUCACCGUGUCAGGACACAGCUUGCCGACAGAUGCACAAAAUCAAUGGAGACAAAUCACAGAUACUCAGAGACGCAGUUCAAAGCUCUGGAGGCCGGAGGCAGAGACGCGGAGUUGCUGAGGGUGCGUCCCUAGAAGGAGCUGGGUGGGGGCGGGAGAGGGGGCUGCUCUUCUGCUCAGGGGCAGUGCUGCCUCUACAAAUGCUGAACGCUACUGCGGCCUUUAUUGUAAAAGUGAACAACCUCUUGAGAUUUCUUUCCGUUAGCAAAAACAGCAGGUCCUAACGUAGGUCUUUGUAAAAGCAAAGUAGCCUAACUACUGAAGGCCUGAGCUUUCGAAACGCGGGGGACACCUGAACCCAAGGAUUUCUACCCUUACCUCUACCUAUGUUCCCAGGCUCGGCUCUCAGUGUCCUCAGCCCUCCCUGCUCCCCCUGGGUCCCCCCUUGUAAGUGCCAGCUUCAGGCCUAUGGUGGGUGCUGCCUGGAUCACCCCUCACAUUUUCCCAUCUCCCAUCCUUACUGAAGGUCUUAUAUGGGAAGGAAGACUUUCCCGCGAUAGAGGGUCCCUAUCAGUCUUCCCAAUUCCCUUUCUCCUACAUAAACUCAGAAUCAACUUCUUCUUUUAAACAGAUGUUUAUUCAUUUUGACAAAAAAUGAGAGAGAGUGUGCGCAUGAGAGCAGGAGGGGCAGAGAGAGAGAGAGAGACAGAAUCCCAAGCUAUCAGCGCAGAGCCCAGCAUGGAGCUCGAGCCCACAAACUGCGGGAUCAUGACCUGAGCCGAAAUCAAGAGUCACUUAACCGACUGAGCCACCCAGGCGCCCCCCGAAUCCACUCCUUUUUUUCUAUAGCUCUGAGAAAGUCAAUGCACAGGGUUAUUCUGGUUCUUGUCCAUGUAUUGGAAUUCUUUGCGUGGAUUCAUCUUGCAGAUGUCAGAGUUACUUCGUUGUAAGACAAGGAUAAUUCAACAACUAUUUAUUAAAUUGUGUAUGCUGCUUCCCCCCAAGUUUACUCGAUGGAAAAUCUUAAUGUGCCUGAAAACAGAAGUUCAGGGGCCCUUUCAGAUAAGAACAGAUGAAUCUUGAAGGUCAGAGCACUGGGGAGAAAUGUGUGUGAGCUGAAG
Molecule: long non-coding RNA, 1255 nt
Filed under: Felis catus (domestic cat)
Lineage: Eukaryota; Metazoa; Chordata; Mammalia; Carnivora; Felidae
Description: lncRNA (ENSFCAG00000051581.1)
Source: RNAcentral